This 492-nucleotide ribosomal RNA is filed under the name uncultured bacterium. Its description in RNAcentral is "partial 16S ribosomal RNA". It matches the Rfam family "Bacterial small subunit ribosomal RNA", at positions 28 to 507 of the family's 1533-position model. The record is from RNAcentral.
GAUGAACGCUAGCUACAGGCUUAACACAUGCAAGUCGAGGGGAAACGACAUCGAAAGCUUGCUUUUGAUGGGCGUCGACCGGCGCACGGGUGAGUAACGCGUAUCCAACCUGCCCAUCACUUGGGAAUAACCUUGCGAAAGUAAGACUAAUACCCAAUGACAUCCCACGAAGACAUCUGAAUGGGAUUAAAGAUUUAUCGGUGAUGGAUGGGGAUGCGUCUGAUUAGCUUGUUGGCGGGGUAGCGGCCCACCAAGGCAACGAUCAGUAGGGGUUCUGAGAGGAAGGUCCCCCACAUUGGAACUGAGACACGGUCCAAACUCCUACGGGAGGCAGCAGUGAGGAAUAUUGGUCAAUGGGCGAGAGCCUGAACCAGCCAAGUAGCGUGCAGGAUGACGGCCCUAUGGGUUGUAAACUGCUUUUAUAAGGGAAUAAAGUGGGUCUCGUGAGACUUUUUGCAUGUACCUUAUGAAUAAGAACCGGCUAAUUCCGUG